This is a long non-coding RNA of Bos taurus (domestic cattle), 3976 nucleotides long. NCBI's taxonomy places the organism in Eukaryota, Metazoa, Chordata, Mammalia, Artiodactyla, Bovidae. The record is from Ensembl.
GUAAGAAGGCUGAACGCCGAAGAAUUGAUGCUUUUGAACUGUGGUUUUGGAGAAGACUCUUGAGAGUCCCUUGGACUGCAAGGAGAUCCAACCGGUCCAUUCUAAAGGAGAUCAGUCCUGGGUGUUCUUUGGAAGAAAUGAUGCUAAAGCUGAAACUCCAAUACUUUGGCCACCUGAUGCGAAGAACUGACUCUCUGGAAAAGACCCUGAAGCUAGGAAAGUUUGAAGACUGGAGGAGAAGGGGACGACAGAGGAUGAGAUGGUUGGAUGGCAUCACUGACUCGAUGGACAUGGGUUUGAGCAAACUCGGGGAGUUGGUGAUGGACAGGGAGGCCUGGCAUGCUGCAGUCCACUGGGUCACAAAGUCAGACAUGACUGAGUGACUGAACUGAUUGACUGACCAACACCCACAGGUUGUUCCACUUCAGCAUCUGCCCUGUCCAUAACUUCCUCACCUGUUUUCCCUGCUAUAGUCAGGUCCUUACUCGCCCAGCAGGAUUCUUGAGAUAGUCUAAGGGCACCCUCAGCCUGGGGUCUCAUUCCUCACUUCCAAUCCCCCCCCAACACUACUACUGUCACAGUAAAACCAUGACAAGGUUAAAAUAUGCCUGUCAUAUGCAUGUAUAAGAAACACGUGACAAAGAUUAAUUUAACUCCUUAAUGAAGAAACUAGCAGAAUAGUAAAUCCAGUUCAAAGGAAAGUUCAAGAAGCUAUAGUGGAUGAUAAAAGGUAUGCUGGAAAGAUUGCAGACUUAGAGACAAGAGAGAUAAAAUAAAAUUAACCUUAGCUCUUUCACACUGUUACAUUCCUUGCCAGUGGCUUCAUUCCCAGGUCUCCUACUCUGACGCCUCAGGCAGGCCAGGCCCUCUUCAGGCACUUCAGGCACUCCAGGCCUCCUUGCGGCUAGGGGGAGGGGAAGGCAAGUUCAAGUCCUCAGGAUCCAGGUCUUUCCACAGUUCACCCCUCCGCAACCCCAGAGUUCAUCAAACUGCCGGAGAGUUUUGUUCGGUGCUCCCUCAACAGUGAUGAUACUGAGUUCAAGCUCCCCGAGUGACGGGCCACUAAAUCUGAGAGAUGAGGUGCUGAGGCAAGGAAUACGACUAUUUGGAAAGCUGACCAAGAAGAUUUUGAGAUUAAUGUCUCAAAAUAACCAUCUUGUCAGGAUCUGGAGGCCAGGUUCUCUUAUAAAACCAGAGAGAGAAGAGGUGAGGAAUUAAAAAUAAAAAAGCAGGACAGACAGGGAGAGGCAGUGAGGACGUGGAGGAAAAAGAGGCGCGUCUCGCAAAACAUCUCUGGGAUGGCCAGCCUGUGGAAGGGAUGUGUUAAUCUCUUCUUUCUUGCAACAUUUUACAGGUGGGCAGGGUCAGAUAAUCUCUCUGUGAGUUGAGUGAAGGCACUUUAACAGUCCGGCAGACAGGCAGGGUUCUCUGAGGUGGGCCAUUAUGUGUGAUUCUAAGAGCAAAGGCAAUGAAAAUCAAGUCAAAGAAACAGUUCCCACCUGGAGUCAGAACCGACUCUUCCCUGCAACUGUUAUGACCCCAUGUCUGUGCUGAUCCACAUGAACUUCGGGAAAAUGCAAUGGCGCAGCCCCUGCUUCCUGGAUUGUGGCUUCUUAUUUACAUCACCACAGCAAGUGAUUACAGGCUUACCUCUUCCAUUUAGGGCUGUGCUUUUUCUGGCUGCCCUUGACACCUGGCCGCUCUCAGGCUCCUGGCUCAGCCAGGCUCUGGACAGGGCUGUGUAUUUAUUGGAUGGGAGACCUGGAUGAGAGACCAUCUGCAUGUUUGUGAGGCAAAAAGAUGAUUUCAGAGAGGCAGCCUUAGUGGUGGUGUGAAGCAAGAUCUUGAUUUCCUGCCCAGGAAAUGAACCUGGGUAGCCUUGAUGAAUCCUAUUCACCAGACCAGCAAGGGCUAGGGGCUAGAAGCUAAUUUUCCUUGGAUCUUGCCCCCAGUGAAACCUGCAUUUCUCAAUGGAGGCAAGGACUGUAAAUGCAAGUACAAAGUUUAUUAUUAGAUAUAGAAAGCAACAAGUGGGACUGAAGGAGGAAACAGAAAGAGCUGGACUCCAUCUUAGGCCAGGUUGCGAACAUUAGGCUACACGCAUGGUCACCCUCCCAGUGGACUCUGAACUUUGUGUCCAGUGUCUAUAGAGAUAGCAUACCAAUGGAAAACCAGACCCCCAGAUAAAAUAGCCUCAGGACUUGCACUUGGACUCUCCGUUGUCUAAAAGAAUAUGCUAAUUAUCUCUGUAACAGAACAAAGUGGUAAAUUCCAUUAUGUUUAUCAGGAUAUGACCACAGGCCUAUUGAUAAAUAUCCACUGUUUAUCUAGUCAUGUAACACAUGAAUCAUGGGUUAACUUUGAUCGUAUCUCUCUUUUACCUUGUCCAGACUAGUUUCAAGGAAUUUGGGGAGGUGGGUUUGAGUAAGGACACUUAGGGUAUAUAAGGUUUUCACAAAAACUGGUCGGGGUCCUUGGCUAAGAGGAGACUCUGCCUUGAGCCCUCCAGCGUAAUAAACACUCCACUAUCUGCAUUGUCCUUCUGAGUGAGUUUGUUUCCCAGAACUCAUGGCUACAACAUUUGGUGCAUGGGCCGGGAAACUCCUCACUUUGAAGAAAUAAGUCCCAUUUGGGGCUACUCCGAGGCCUUGCAGCUUGAAUCUUCUAGAGUGGGGAAGGUGCCUUGCCUUUCUGGAAGGAUUCUGCUUCUCAACGCCCAGACCUUUCAUGUUAGCAGCCCACCAAGACAGAACAGACUUUAAGGGAGAAACAGUGUUGGACCACGUGGUGUUCUGGUUUGGCCUUGCUGACCGGCAGGUGAAGACACACGGAUCCCCCUUCGUCCUCUGGGAUCUGGCAGGAUUUGGACGAGGAUGACCUGCCCCUCCCCCAUACCGGAUGAUGACGCACCCUCCGGCCCAGUGCUCCACCAGGACCAGAGGCUGCCUUAAUGCCCAAUCCAGGGCCAGGUGAAGUUCCUGCAGCAGCCAUUCCUCCUCCACCAGCUCUCCUGGAGGUCUUAGAGCCGCCACCUCAGCAGGCUCCAAUCCUGGUGGCAGAAGCCUCUGGCCAGCACUUCCAGGAUCUGGCUCCAGCCGAACCGCCCAAGCUAUACCCACCUCUCCCGAUCUCAAGGACGUCUUCUUCUGCAUACACCUUGUCCCAGCAUCACAGCCCAUCUUUGCCUUUGAAUGGGAAGAUCCAGUCGGGGGCAUCAAACAACAGCUCACCUGGACUCCCCCACAAGGGUUUAAGAAUUCCCCAACCAUCUUUGGGGAAGCCUUGGCUUCUGACCUGGACUCAUUCCACCCGGAAAAGUACAGAUGUUGGCUCCUACAAUACAUGGAUGACCUGCUGCUGGUUGCCGAGACCAGGGAAAAAUGCUGGAAAGGGACAAAAGCACUGCUCCAGCUGCUGAUGGAAGCAGGUUACUGGGUGUCGAAGAAGAAGGCACAGAUCUGCAAAGAGUUAAAGUUACAGGUAUUGCCCCUUGGAUCCAUCAUACGAGGAUGAAGAGAGCAUACCACGCAGACCCAGAAAACGCUGAGUGGACUGCACAGAGGGACCCCGCUGACCCUCGAGAGACUAAGACCAUCCUUAAGAAGAAGGAAAAGAAGAUCCCGGAGCCCCUUGAGGAUGAAGCCACAUAAACAACUCCUGCUGCUUGGUCUCAUCAACAUGCACAUUCCUACGCCAACUUCCACAAUUCCUCCAACUGUUGGAACCACCAUCAACACACAGACCAGAGUGUGAACUUCUUGAGCAAAAGAGACACCCCUUUUGAUUGGAGAGUUGAGGAAGCUUCCUGGAAGAGGUGUCUUGUCAGCUGACCCUGAAUUGUUGGAUUGGGGAGGGAACAGACAGCAUGGGGACCUGCUCAGGACCGGCCAUGGGAGUCAGCUCAGCCCACAGCCUGAAAGCUCACCUCCUCUCCUCCCACACCCGGCAACACCAACACAUCUUCACUAGGCAGGAU